Molecule: ribosomal RNA, 253 nt
Filed under: uncultured bacterium
Lineage: Bacteria
Description: partial 16S ribosomal RNA
Rfam family: Bacterial small subunit ribosomal RNA
Source: RNAcentral
UACGUAGGCGGCAAGCGUUGUCCGGAUUUACUGGGUGUAAAGGGCGUGUAGCCGGGCUGACAAGUCAGAUGUGAAAUCCGGGGGCUCAACCCCCGAACUGCAUUUGAAACUGUUGGUCUUGAGUAUCGGAGAGGCAGGCGGAAUUCCUAGUGUAGCGGUGAAAUGCGUAGAUAUUAGGAGGAACACCAGUGGCGAAGGCGGCCUGCUGGACGACAACUGACGGUGAGGCGCGAAAGCGUGGGGAGCAAACAGG